Molecule: ribosomal RNA, 491 nt
Filed under: uncultured bacterium
Lineage: Bacteria
Description: partial 16S ribosomal RNA
Rfam family: Bacterial small subunit ribosomal RNA
Source: RNAcentral
GAUGAACGCUAGCUACAGGCUUAACACAUGCAAGUCGCGGGGCAGCAUGGGGGUUGCUUGCAACCCCUGAUGGCGACCGGCGCACGGGUGAGUAACGCGUAUCCAACCUGCCCUUCACCACGGGAUAACCCGGCGAAAGUCGGAAUAAUACCGUAUGUUGUCCAUUGACGGCAUCCGAUUUGGACGAAAGGCUGGGCGGGGAAAGGAUGGGGAUGCGUCCGAUUAGCUUGACGGCGGGGUAACGGCCCACCGUGGCUACGAUCGGUAGGGGUUCUGAGAGGAAGGUCCCCCACACUGGAACUGAGACACGGUCCAGACUCCUACGGGAGGCAGCAGUGAGGAAUAUUGGUCAAUGGGCGUAAGCCUGAACCAGCCAAGUAGCGUGCAGGAUGACGGCCCUAUGGGUUGUAAACUGCUUUUAUGCGGGGAUAAAGUGGCCCACGUGUGGGCUUUUGCAGGUACCGCAUGAAUAAGGACCGGCUAAUUCCGUG